This 1007-nucleotide ribosomal RNA is filed under the name uncultured bacterium. RNAcentral describes it as "bacterial SSU rRNA". It matches the Rfam family "Bacterial small subunit ribosomal RNA", at positions 83 to 1120 of the family's 1533-position model. The record is from RNAcentral.
ACUCGAUCGAGCGUGGCGUACGGGUGAGUAACGCGUGAGAAUCUGCCUCAGAGUCCGAGCAACAAGCAAUCGCUUGGAAUCUUGGAUACCCAAAGGUACUUUAGUACUUGGCAAAGGGCUUCCCGCUCUGAGAUGAGCUUGCGUGAGAUUAGGUAGUUGGUAGAGUAAAAGCCUACCAAGCCCAAGAUCUCUAACCGGUUCGAGAGUACGAUCGGUCACACUGGGACUGAGACACGGCCCAGACGCUUUCGAGCGGCAGCAGUGAGGAAUCUUGGACACUGGGCGAAAGCCUGAUCCAGCUCUAUGACGUGGAUGAGGACGACUGACAUUGGUUGUAAAAUCCUGCGCCCCCCUUGAGAUUUUGACAGGAGGGGGGUUACAAGUCCCGGCAAAUCUCGUGCCAGCAGCCGCGGUAAUACGAGAGGGGCAAGCGUUAUUCGGAAUGAUUGGGCGUAAAGCGCCUGUAGGCGGUGAUCAACUUGUCGGGGAUGCAGCUCACAGGAAUGCUGUGAACCACCCCGGGAGGUUGGUCGCUUGAGGCGGUCAGAGGAGCGUGGAAUUCCUGGAGGAGCGGUAAAAUGUGUUGAGCUCAGGAGGAACACCGAUGGCGAAAGCAGCGCUCUGGGGCCGACCUGACGUUGAGAGGCGAAAGCGUGGGGAUCGAAAGGGAUUAGAUACCCCUGUAGUCCACGCCGUCAACGAUGACCAUUCCCGGGGGGGAUCCAAUAAGGGUCUCCCUCGGUUAGCGAACGCGGUAAAUGGUCCGCCUGAGGAGUACGGUCGCAAGAUUAAAACUCAAAGGAAUAGACAGGGGCUCACACAAGUGGUGGAACAUGUGGUUUAAUUCGACACAACGCGCAGAACCUUACCAGGUCUUGACUCGUCACAUUCGACCUUGUAUCUUUUACAAGGUGGUGUGAUACAGGUGUUGCAUGGCUGUCGUCAGCUCGUGUGUGAACUGUUGGAUUCAUUUACUGAACGAGCGAAACCCCUGGAUGGUGUUGUUC